RNAcentral lists this unclassified non-coding RNA (304 nucleotides) under Bombus terrestris (buff-tailed bumblebee). RNAcentral describes it as "misc RNA ENSBTSG00005020446.1". Lineage: Eukaryota; Metazoa; Arthropoda; Insecta; Hymenoptera; Apidae. The record is from RNAcentral.
GGUAGACUAUUUACAAUCAAUUCUCAUUGAGAAUUAUAAAUAAAUUAUUUUGGCAUUGUACUGUAACUUGGAUUAUAAGAUUAAAAAGUUUUUCUUUUGUUUGGUAGACUAUUUACAAUCAAAUCUCAUUGAGAAUUAUAAAUAAAUUAUUUUGGCAUGGUAUUGUAACUUGGAUUAUAAGAUUAAAGAAUUAAAGUUUUUCUUUUGUUUGGUAGACUAUUUACAAUCAAUUCUCAUUGAGAAUUAUAAAUAAAUUAUUUUGGCAUGGUACUGUAACUUAGAUUACAAGAUUAAAGAGUAAAGU